This 429-nucleotide ribosomal RNA is filed under the name Chloroflexota bacterium. RNAcentral's name for it is "Chloroflexi bacterium partial 16S ribosomal RNA". It matches the Rfam family "Bacterial small subunit ribosomal RNA", at positions 355 to 776 of the family's 1533-position model. The record is from RNAcentral. Lineage: Bacteria; Bacillati; Chloroflexota.
UGGGGAAUAUUGCACAAUGGGCGCAAGCCUGAUGCAGCCAUGCCGCGUGUAUGAAGAAGGCCUUCGGGUUGUAAAGUACUUUCAGCGGGGAGGAAGGGAGUAAAGUUAAUACCUUUGCUCAUUGACGUUACCCGCAGAAGAAGCACCGGCUAACUCCGUGCCAGCAGCCGCGGUAAUACGGAGGGUGCAAGCGUUAAUCGGAAUUACUGGGCGUAAAGCGCACGCAGGCGGUUUGUUAAGUCAGAUGUGAAAUCCCCGGGCUCAACCUGGGAACUGCAUCUGAUACUGGCAAGCUUGAGUCUCGUAGAGGGGGGUAGAAUUCCAGGUGUAGCGGUGAAAUGCGUAGAGAUCUGGAGGAAUACCGGUGGCGAAGGCGGCCCCCUGGACAAAGACUGACGCUCAGGUGCGAAGGCGUGGGGAGCAAACAGG